This 662-nucleotide ribosomal RNA is filed under the name Escherichia coli. Its description in RNAcentral is "partial 23S ribosomal RNA". It matches the Rfam family "Bacterial large subunit ribosomal RNA", at positions 612 to 1273 of the family's 2925-position model. The record is from RNAcentral. Lineage: Bacteria; Pseudomonadati; Pseudomonadota; Gammaproteobacteria; Enterobacterales; Enterobacteriaceae.
AUAAUGGGUCAGCGACUUAUAUUCUGUAGCAAGGUUAACCGAAUAGGGGAGCCGAAGGGAAACCGAGUCUUAACUGGGCGUUAAGUUGCAGGGUAUAGACCCGAAACCCGGUGAUCUAGCCAUGGGCAGGUUGAAGGUUGGGUAACACUAACUGGAGGACCGAACCGACUAAUGUUGAAAAAUUAGCGGAUGACUUGUGGCUGGGGGUGAAAGGCCAAUCAAACCGGGAGAUAGCUGGUUCUCCCCGAAAGCUAUUUAGGUAGCGCCUCGUGAAUUCAUCUCCGGGGGUAGAGCACUGUUUCGGCAAGGGGGUCAUCCCGACUUACCAACCCGAUGCAAACUGCGAAUACCGGAGAAUGUUAUCACGGGAGACACACGGCGGGUGCUAACGUCCGUCGUGAAGAGGGAAACAACCCAGACCGCCAGCUAAGGUCCCAAAGUCAUGGUUAAGUGGGAAACGAUGUGGGAAGGCCCAGACAGCCAGGAUGUUGGCUUAGAAGCAGCCAUCAUUUAAAGAAAGCGUAAUAGCUCACUGGUCGAGUCGGCCUGCGCGGAAGAUGUAACGGGGCUAAACCAUGCACCGAAGCUGCGGCAGCGACGCUUAUGCGUUGUUGGGUAGGGGAGCGUUCUGUAAGCCUGCGAAGGUGUGCUGUGAGGCAUGC